RNAcentral lists this long non-coding RNA (1703 nucleotides) under Homo sapiens (human). RNAcentral's name for it is "HSALNT0181124". The record is from RNAcentral. Lineage: Eukaryota; Metazoa; Chordata; Mammalia; Primates; Hominidae.
AACAUUUAUGACAGAUUCUGGCACAUGAUAUCUACUUAAUAAAUUCUUUUUGAAUUAAUUAAAAAUACUGUAGAGUUUUAGUUAUUUUUAGUUAUUGGGGUGAAAGGAUCACUUGCAGUCAGGAGUUCGAGACCAGCCUGGCCAAUAUGGUGAAACCCUGUCUCUACUAAAAAUACAAAAAUUAGCUGGGUGUGGUGGUGGGCGCCUGUAGUCCCAGCUACUUGGGAGGCUGGGGCAGGAGAAUCACUUGAACCCGGGAGGCGGAGGUUGUAGUGAGCCGAGAUCGUGCCACUGCACUCCAGCCUGGGCAAAAGAGCGAGACUCUGUCUCAAUAAAUAAAUAAAUAAAUAAAUAAAUAGAAGGAAAUAAAAAACAAUUAGCCGGGCAUGGAGGCAUGCUCCUAUAGUCCCAGCUACUUGGGAGGCUGAGGCAGGAGGAUCACUUGAGCUCAGGAGUUCGAGGCUGUAGUGAGCUAUGAUCAGGCCACUGCACUCCAGCGUGGGCAACAGAGUAAGACUUUGUCUCUAAAGAAAAGUCACUAGAAAUAGACUUACUGACAUACACACGCAAAAGGCUAUACAGAAUCCCCUAAAGAAGCAAACAGUGACAGUGGAGUGGCAAAUGGAGACAUUGCAUUUGAACUUGACAGAUUGUUUUUUUGCAGCCAAGUUAUCUGUAUAGUCUUCUAAUUUCACUGUGGUUUUUUAUUGAUGUUAUGAUUUUUUCUUUUUCUUUAGGGGCCUUGGACAAGUUGUUACUGACUAUGUUCAUGGGGAUGCCUUGCAGAAAGCUGCCAAGGCAGGGCUUUUGGCACUUUCAGCUUUAACCUUUGCUGGGCUUUGCUAUUUCAACUAUCACGAUGUGGGCAUCUGCAAAGCUGUUGCCAUGCUGUGGAAGCUCUGACCUUUUUGACUUCAUACUUUGAAGAAUUGAUGUAUGCCUCUUUGCCUCUGCUUUGUCAUGCCAUUAAGCUCACAAUAAGGAAGAAAUAACAGAUAAGUCCAUUGGUGGACAGCCUUCUUCUCUUAAUCACAAGAUUAUUUUCAGAAUUUAAUCUUUGAGGAAAAGGUUUGAGAGGAAUUAUAUCUAAGUUGUGAGACUGAGUUCUAUAUUCUGGUGAGUUAAUGGGGUUGCCUCCCAGCUUCUUAUAAGACUCACAGUAUAACUAAACAUGAUAUAUCAGCUUUUGCCUUUCAAUUUAUCAAUCUCUUAAAGAGAAUCCAACUUUAUUACGAUUAGUAUAUGAUCAAACUUCCAUAUUUGCCUUGGGAAUAAUGGACAAAGGGAAAUACUCUUAAUUCAUGAAUAAAAACUUUGCAGAAAAUUAGACAGUGUUUAAUUUUCGAAAACUUCCCUCUCUAGACAGUAGAUACCACCUACUGAUGGUUACAUAUACUAGGGAAAUUUUAAAAUUAGGAAAUGCUGAUAGCUCAUAUUAUAAAUUUCUAAAUCCUAGGAAGAAACGCUUGGAGUGCUUCUGAAUAUACAGAAGUUCCAUUUAAGGGCAAGUUUCCCUGUAGAUGUAUCAAAAUACUACCAACUGUAAAUUGAGAUUUAAUUCCCAAAUGUAUUCUACUUGUUCUAAAACAAUCUGUCCACAAAUAUAAAACUAUAAGUAAUAAAUUGUUAUUUUCGCACAAUGGGAAUCUCUAAUGUGAAAAUGUAUUCUAUGAAAAUAAUUUUUUUAAAUAAAAUGUUAUAUA